This is a long non-coding RNA of Neopelma chrysocephalum (saffron-crested tyrant-manakin), 136 nucleotides long. RefSeq lists it as uncharacterized. The transcript has 4 exons. The record is from RefSeq and is a predicted model, not a curated record. Lineage: Eukaryota; Metazoa; Chordata; Aves; Passeriformes; Pipridae.
GGCAGGUUUAGAUUAGAUGUUAGGAAGAAAUUCUUUACUCACAGGUGGAUGCAUGAAGGAGGCUGUGACCCUGUGGGAGGCCCAAGAUAGAGCAGGGUCUUGCCAGGGAUCUACAGCCUGUGGAGAGAGGAGCCCA